Molecule: transfer RNA, 72 nt
Filed under: Scleropages formosus (Asian bonytongue)
Lineage: Eukaryota; Metazoa; Chordata; Actinopteri; Osteoglossiformes; Osteoglossidae
Rfam family: tRNA
About the family: Transfer RNA (tRNA) molecules are approximately 80 nucleotides in length. Their secondary structure includes four short double-helical elements and three loops (D, anti-codon, and T loops). Further hydrogen bonds mediate the characteristic L-shaped molecular structure. tRNAs have two regions of fundamental functional importance: the anti-codon, which is responsible for specific mRNA codon recognition, and the 3' end, to which the tRNAs corresponding amino acid is attached (by aminoacyl-tRNA synthetases). tRNAs cope with the degeneracy of the genetic code in two manners: having more than one tRNA (with a specific anti-codon) for a particular amino acid; and 'wobble' base-pairing, i.e. permitting non-standard base-pairing at the 3rd anti-codon position.
Source: Rfam by way of RNAcentral
GGGGAUGUAGCUCAGCGGUAGAGCGCACGCUUCGCAUGCGUGAGGUCCUGGGUUCAAUCCUCAGCAUCUCCA